This 796-nucleotide ribosomal RNA is filed under the name Ramularia endophylla. Its description in RNAcentral is "eukaryotic LSU rRNA". It matches the Rfam family "Eukaryotic large subunit ribosomal RNA", at positions 82 to 909 of the family's 3401-position model. Lineage: Eukaryota; Fungi; Ascomycota; Dothideomycetes; Mycosphaerellales; Mycosphaerellaceae. The record is from RNAcentral.
AGUAACGGCGAGUGAAGCGGCAACAGCUCAAAUUUGAAAUCUGGCGCAAGCCCGAGUUGUAAUUUGUAGAGGAUGCUUCUAGGUAGCGACCGGUCUAAGUUCCUUGGAACAGGACGUCAUAGAGGGUGAGAAUCCCGUAUGUGACUGGCCCGCACCUUCUACGUAGCUCCUUCGACGAGUCGAGUUGUUUGGGAAUGCAGCUCUAAAUGGGAGGUAAAUUUCUUCUAAAGCUAAAUACCGGCCAGAGACCGAUAGCGCACAAGUAGAGUGAUCGAAAGAUGAAAAGCACUUUGGAAAGAGAGUUAAAAAGCACGUGAAAUUGUUGAAAGGGAAGCGCUCACAACCAGACUUCUAGGCAGUGUUCCGCCGGUCUUUUGACCGGUCUACUCUCUGUCUCGAGGCCAACAUCAUCUGGGACCGCCGGAUAAGACCUUAGGAAUGUAGCUCCCCUCGGGGAGUGUUAUAGCCUCUGGUGAUGCGGCGCGUCUCGGGUGAGGUCCGCGCUUCGGCAAGGAUGUUGGCGUAAUGGUUGUCAGCGGCCCGUCUUGAAACACGGACCAAGGAGUCUAACAUCUAUGCGAGUGUUCGGGUGUCAAACCCCUACGCGUAAUGAAAGUGAACGGAGGUGGGAAGCGUAAGCUGCACCAUCGACCGAUCCUGAUGUCCUCGGAUGGAUUUGAGUAAGAGCAUAGCUGUUGGGACCCGAAAGAUGGUGAACUAUGCCUGAAUAGGGUGAAGCCAGAGGAAACUCUGGUGGAGGCUCGCAGCGGUUCUGACGUGCAAAUCGAUCGUCAAA